RNAcentral lists this ribosomal RNA (1743 nucleotides) under Vibrio parahaemolyticus. Its description in RNAcentral is "partial 23S ribosomal RNA". It matches the Rfam family "Bacterial large subunit ribosomal RNA", at positions 1223 to 2925 of the family's 2925-position model. The record is from RNAcentral. Lineage: Bacteria; Pseudomonadati; Pseudomonadota; Gammaproteobacteria; Vibrionales; Vibrionaceae.
AUUGGGUAGGGGAGCGUUCUGUAAGCGGUUGAAGGUGUGUGGUAACGCAUGCUGGACGUAUCAGAAGUGCGAAUGCUGACAUGAGUAACGAUAAAGGGGGUGAAAAACCUCCUCGCCGGAAGACCAAGGGUUCCUGUCCAACGUUAAUCGGGGCAGGGUAAGUCGACCCCUAAGGCGAGGCCGAAAGGCGUAGUCGAUGGGAAACGGGUUAAUAUUCCCGUACUUCUUACAAUUGCGAUGGGGGGACGGAGAAGGCUAGGUGGGCCUGGCGACGGUUGUCCAGGUUCAAGUGCGUAGGCUUAAGAGUUAGGUAAAUCCGGCUCUUUCUAAGGCUGAGACACGACGUCGAGCACCUACGGGUGUGAAGUCAUUGAUGCCAUGCUUCCAGGAAAAGCCUCUAAGCUUCAGAUUGUAAGGAAUCGUACCCCAAACCGACACAGGUGGUCGGGUAGAGAAUACCAAGGCGCUUGAGAGAACUCGGGUGAAGGAACUAGGCAAAAUGGUACCGUAACUUCGGGAGAAGGUACGCUCUCGACGGUGAAGUCCCUCGCGGAUGGAGCUAUUGAGAGUCGCAGAUACCAGGUGGCUGCAACUGUUUAUUAAAAACACAGCACUGUGCAAAAUCGUAAGAUGACGUAUACGGUGUGACGCCUGCCCGGUGCCGGAAGGUUAAUUGAUGGGGUUAGACUUCGGUCGAAGCUCUUGAUCGAAGCCCCGGUAAACGGCGGCCGUAACUAUAACGGUCCUAAGGUAGCGAAAUUCCUUGUCGGGUAAGUUCCGACCUGCACGAAUGGCGUAAUGAUGGCCACGCUGUCUCCACCCGAGACUCAGUGAAAUUGAAAUCGCUGUGAAGAUGCAGUGUACCCGCGGCUAGACGGAAAGACCCCGUGAACCUUUACUACAGCUUGGCACUGAACAUUGACCCUACAUGUGUAGGAUAGGUGGGAGGCUUUGAAGCAGGUACGCCAGUAUCUGUGGAGCCGUCCUUGAAAUACCACCCUUGUAGUGUUGAUGUUCUAACGUCGACCCCUUAUCGGGGUUGCGGACAGUGCCUGGUGGGUAGUUUGACUGGGGCGGUCUCCUCCCAAAGAGUAACGGAGGAGCACGAAGGUGGGCUAAUCACGGUUGGACAUCGUGAGGUUAGUGCAAUGGCAUAAGCCCGCUUGACUGCGAGAAUGACAAUUCGAGCAGGUGCGAAAGCAGGUCAUAGUGAUCCGGUGGUUCUGAAUGGAAGGGCCAUCGCUCAACGGAUAAAAGGUACUCCGGGGAUAACAGGCUGAUACCGCCCAAGAGUUCAUAUCGACGGCGGUGUUUGGCACCUCGAUGUCGGCUCAUCACAUCCUGGGGCUGAAGUCGGUCCCAAGGGUAUGGCUGUUCGCCAUUUAAAGUGGUACGCGAGCUGGGUUUAGAACGUCGUGAGACAGUUCGGUCCCUAUCUGCCGUGGGCGUUGGAAGAUUGAAGGGGGCUGCUCCUAGUACGAGAGGACCGGAGUGGACGAACCUCUGGUGUUCGGGUUGUGUCGCCAGACGCAUUGCCCGGUAGCUAAGUUCGGAAUCGAUAACCGCUGAAAGCAUCUAAGCGGGAAGCGAGCCCUGAGAUGAGUCUUCCCUGAUACUUUAAGUAUCCUAAAGGGUUGUCGGAGACUACGACGUUGAUAGGUCAGGUGUGUAAGUGCUGUGAGGCAUUGAGCUAACUGAUACUAAUUGCCCGUGAGGCUUAACCAUACAACACCCAAGGGGUUU